Small nucleolar RNA from Hucho hucho (huchen), 68 nucleotides. Lineage: Eukaryota; Metazoa; Chordata; Actinopteri; Salmoniformes; Salmonidae. The record is from Ensembl.
AUGCAAUGAUGUUUGAAUUUCUUCACCUGAAACAAUCAUGUAGUUUGAGCUUUUUAACCCUGAGCAUC